RNAcentral lists this ribosomal RNA (468 nucleotides) under uncultured bacterium. RNAcentral describes it as "partial 16S ribosomal RNA". It matches the Rfam family "Bacterial small subunit ribosomal RNA", at positions 28 to 507 of the family's 1533-position model. The record is from RNAcentral.
GACGAACGCUGGCGGCGUGCUUAACACAUGCAAGUCGAACGGAAAGGCCCUGCUUUUGUGGGGUGCUCGAGUGGCGAACGGGUGAGUAACACGUGAGUAACCUGCCCUUGACUUUGGGAUAACUUCAGGAAACUGGGGCUAAUAUCGGAUAGGAGCUCCUGCUGCAUGGUGGGGGUUGGAAAGUUUCGGCGGUUGGGGAUGGACUCGCGGCUUAUCAGCUUGUUGGUGGGGUAGUGGCUUACCAAGGCUUUGACGGGUAGCCGGCCUGAGAGGGUGACCGGGCACAAUGGUACUGAGAGAGGGCCCAGACGCCUACGUGAGGCAGCGGUGGGGAAUAUGGCACAAUAGGCGGAAGCCUGAGGCAGCGACGCCGCGUGCGUGAUGACGGCCUUCGGGCUGUAAACCGCUUUCGCCUGUGACGAAGCGUGAGUGACGGUAAUGGGUAAAGAAGCACCGGCUAACUACGUG